GGGCCAGGUGCUGUAAACUUUAUCAUAGAUCAUGGAGAGCUGGAUUUUGUGUUUGUCCAAGAUAGGAAGGUUAUCCAUCUUUUGAAUCCUGAUUGUAAAUCUGCUCAACGACUCAAAGCAAUGGUGUCCUUCACUUCAUUCACAGAGGAAGAGAAAGAUAAGGCCAUCAGCAU
Long non-coding RNA from Glycine soja, 173 nucleotides. RefSeq lists it as uncharacterized. NCBI's taxonomy places the organism in Eukaryota, Viridiplantae, Streptophyta, Magnoliopsida, Fabales, Fabaceae. The transcript is spliced from 3 exons. The record is from RefSeq and is a predicted model, not a curated record.